This 498-nucleotide ribosomal RNA is filed under the name uncultured bacterium. RNAcentral's name for it is "partial 16S ribosomal RNA". It matches the Rfam family "Bacterial small subunit ribosomal RNA", at positions 28 to 507 of the family's 1533-position model. The record is from RNAcentral.
GACGAACGCUGGCGGCGUGCCUAAUACAUGCAAGUCGAGCGGACGAAUCGAAAGCUUGCUUUUGAUUCGUUAGCGGCGGACGGGUGAGUAACACGUGGGCAACCUGCCCUGUAGACGGGGAUAACACCGAGAAAUCGGUGCUAAUACCGGAUAACACGAAAUGUCGCAUGACGUUUCGUUGAAAGACGGCGCAAGCUGUCGCUACAGGAUGGGCCCGCGGCGCAUUAGCUAGUUGGUGAGUUAACGGCUCACCAAGGCGACGAUGCGUAGCCGACCUGAGAGGGUGAUCGGCCACACUGGGACUGAGACACGGCCCAGACUCCUACGGGAGGCAGCAGUAGGGAAUCUUCCGCAAUGGACGAAAGUCUGACGGAGCAACGCCGCGUGAGCGAAGAAGGCCUUCGGGUCGUAAAGCUCUGUUGUUAGGGAAGAACAAGUAACGCAGUAACUGGCGUUACCGUGACGGUACCUAACGAGAAAGCCACGGCUAACUACGUG